RNAcentral lists this ribosomal RNA (497 nucleotides) under uncultured bacterium. Its description in RNAcentral is "partial 16S ribosomal RNA". It matches the Rfam family "Bacterial small subunit ribosomal RNA", at positions 28 to 507 of the family's 1533-position model. The record is from RNAcentral.
GAUGAACGCUGGCGGCGUGCCUAAUACAUGCAAGUCGAGCGAACAGACGAGGAGCUUGCUCCUCUGACGUUAGCGGCGGACGGGUGAGUAACACGUGGAUAACCUACCUAUAAGACUGGGAUAACUUCGGGAAACCGGAGCUAAUACCGGAUAAUAUAUUGAACCGCAUGGUUCAAUAGUGAAAGACGGUUUUGCUGUCACUUAUAGAUGGAUCCGCGCCACAUUAGCUAGUUGGUAAGGUAACGGCUUACCAAGGCAACGAUGCGUAGCCGACCUGAGAGGGUGAUCGGCCACACUGGAACUGAGACACGGUCCAGACUCCUGCGGGAGGCAGCAGUAGGGAAUCUUACGCAAUGGGCGAAAGCCUGACGGAGCAACGCCGCGUGAGUGAUGAAGGUCUUCGGAUCGUAAAACUCUGUUAUUAGGGAAGAACAAAUGUGUAAGUAACUAUGCACGUCUUGACGGUACCUAAUCAGAAAGCCACGGCUAACUACGUG